ACACCACCAGAUUCUUAACACACCGGGCCACCAGGGAACUCCCUAAGCCUUUACUUUCCUACUUUAAAUUAUUAGACACACACACACACACACACACACACACAUCCCUUGGGGGACAGAUGUAACAGGAACCAGUAAAAGAGUGUGUUCUCAACAGGCUGCAGCAAAAUUGCUGCUUCCUAGGCCCAGGCAAGGCAGUGUUCCUCAUUCUUUAAGGGGCUCCAGGGUAAGGAGGUUUCUGCAACCAGCUCUGUCCGGCUCAGCCCUUGGCACCUGGUGCACCUUAUUUGUCAUAGACUGAAGCCUGUUAUCUGGCCCUUUCCUCCUGGGACCCACUCUCCCCACAAAGGAAGGCUUGAGACCCAGGACUUCCAUGUCCCCACCACUGGUAUUACAUCAGCGGGGGGGACCCUAACCUACAACGCCUCUUGCUCCAGAAACACCUGCCAGGGUUGGGGGCAGGGGGACAUGGGGGUGAUGCCUUUCAUUGGGUUUGACAGGAAGUUGGAAGAGAAAUGACCACCUUGUUACUGACGUGUCCACUGUGAUUUUAACCAUGGGACUUCAAAAUGUCCUGUGGAUAGUAUAUCUGAGCCAACAGUACUCAAGGGCUGAUUAAUCAGGGUAAAUCAACAGCAUGACAUUUUCCAUCCAGCCCACCACGUCUACCUCAAUGUCUUACUUUCUAUUUACUAGAGACAAGUAUCUGCCAGAUCAAUGUAUUUACAAUAAAUUGAUUGUUUUGUCUGCAAUUAAUUUACAGAUUAUCUGCAAGUUUUCCUUACAGAAAAACUUUGAGAGACCUCUGGAUAAGAAACAUCUAUUCGAAAGUAUACACAAUAAUUAGUUGCUAUGUGAUACAAGGAUAUUUAUUUCAAUUCCACUUUAAUUCUAAGACAAAAUGUCCAAGUUCCUCUACUCCUCCACAAGCAUCUAAUCCUCAGUGGAAAUAUAUACCAUGAAUAUAAGGGAUCAUAAAAUAUGAUGAAAGGGUGGUAGUGUAUCAGUCUCUUAGCUGCCUGUAAUGAGAGCUGAAAGAAAAAAGAGCUGAGUGUGAAGGCCACGGGCACCUUCGCAUGCAGUUACUCAACCCGCCUUGUAAAUACACAGAGCCAAACACACACACUGCCCGACAGGGAGCAAUUCCCAUGGCUACACUCACGAGGCUGGCAAUGCCAUUCAUACGGGCACCCCUGGAAUCUUUCCUUUCAGCCCAGAUUAUUCAAAAAAGCACGGUGGGGACCAAGAUGGAACUCUUAAGAGGUGUUUUGUAGGAAAUCAGAGGCAGUCUUCUGGCUGUGUGAGCUUCAACUCUAGAAAUAGAUACACAAAGUCCUGAGCCUUGCCCUCUCUCGCCAGAAUGUGUCUCCUUCCACUGUUGCUCUGUCAGCAGUAGGUCCAUUCCUGUUCCAUAGAAAACAUCAGAUGCAAGUGAGAGCGAAGCCACCUGAAGCCAGGACCCGAAGAACCAGAUGCUGAGGAUGCCCGGCUGCCAUGCCUUCACCACCACCGCACAGGCAGGCCACAGCCCCUGAGCCGCUGCAACUCUCAACCCGUGAAAGAAAGGCUUUCCUGCCUGUAAGAAAGGGUUUGGACUGGAUUAAUUCAUUUGAGGAAUACUGAGUGAGCGCCCAAUGCGUGAAAGGCUUCAGGCCAGGCAGGCUCCAUGGGGAGGAGAGAUGGCUAAAAGCAGUAGGACCAGCUCUGAGGUGCUCUCCUGAUACAUAAACAAUGUGCUGGACAUAGGGAAGUGGGCAAGGGGACCCCAGGAGCUCCACCUCAGUCCCCAUCAGCUGCCCUGAGAAGUGAGGGGGGGGUAUCUGUCCAUGUGCAGCUGUAACCCACCCACAGAGAUUCAUCAGUGGGCUGGGAGGCUCUGGGCUAGAUGUGCACAGACGGUCCCCAGCCUCAGGGGAUGUGUACCCCUUCAGAGACUCCUGAUGACAGCACUCUCCACAUUCGGAGCCCACAACCUCUCUCUGGAAGUCUGCCGUCCUGGUGCCUUGCCCUGCUGAUCACACGGGUCCACCUCUGUGAGACCAUGGCCGGAAAGGGGGUUGGGGGGCAGGGCAGGGUGAAGGAGGAAGGAAGAGAAAAGGCAAUACUGGCAGGAAUUAGAGGAUGAUAUCUACCAGAGAUUUGGAGCUGGGAACCACUGAUGCUGUCAUCCACCUGGCAGACAAAGUUGCUGGCUGAGGGCCAAGAGCCACAGGUAUCUAUGGCUGUGGAAAGCUGAUUCUUUCAGCAAAUACUGUUGGAGAUUCAGGCAAAUAAGACCGAGGGUCCAUCCUCAAGGAGCUCACUGAGCAAUGGAUUCACAAUGACUUCUUAAGAACACCACCCAGACUCAUUUGUUGGGCCUUUUUUUUUUUCCUUUUUGUCUUUUUGCCUUUUCUAGGGCCACACCUGCCACAUAUGGAGGUUCCCAGGCUAGGGGUCUAAUCAGAGCCACAGCUGCCGGCCUACGCAAGAGCCACAGCAACACCAGAUCCGAACUGCAUCUGCAACCUACACCACAGCUCACAGCAAUGCCGGAUCCUUAACCCACUGAGCAAGGCCAGGGAUCGAACCCGAAACCUCACAGUUCCUAGUUGGAUUCAUUAACCACUGAGCCACGACGGAAAUUCCUAUUGGGCUUCUUAAAUGAUACUGGGAAAUACAGCCACCAUAUUGGGCUAUAUUUUCCAAUGAUAUUAAGCUAUCUUUCUAUCCAGGUAAGUCAGGGAAAACAAGCAACCUGAGAACUCAAAAAUCAACACCCAAAAGCAACUUGGUGAAGGCUGAGGCCAUGACUUGGGCACGCGUAUACUUCACUAACGGGUUAAGUGGACGGACAUAAGAAAGGGAAAACCUAGAAAGUCUCCAGAGAAACAUAAAAUGGUCAUGUACUGUAAGUCCAUGCCCUACAAGUGUCCUUUUUCAGUAAAGAAAACUGAGCAGUGACCUGACCCCAAACUAUCAGAGGAAGAAAAGCCCAAGACUAAGCAGCAGGAAAAAUAUGACUCUGUUUGCCAGAUAAAAUAGGAAAUAUCUGCAGCUGGAUUACCUCUGCGUCAGUCACAAAGGGUCAGUCUACUCGGCACGUAACCGAGUUUCUCAGCUUCAACUGAGUCCCUUCAUCCAAAUUAAGCCAUCUUGUUUCUGAUUCAUAAAAUACUGUUUCACAGUAAAGUGAGUCACUUCAUUACUACCUAAUGUAACAUA
This 3204-nucleotide long non-coding RNA is filed under the name Sus scrofa (pig). Its description in RNAcentral is "lncRNA (ENSSSCG00000058277.1)". The record is from RNAcentral. Lineage: Eukaryota; Metazoa; Chordata; Mammalia; Artiodactyla; Suidae.